Molecule: ribosomal RNA, 259 nt
Filed under: uncultured Prevotella sp.
Lineage: Bacteria; Pseudomonadati; Bacteroidota; Bacteroidia; Bacteroidales; Prevotellaceae
Description: partial 16S ribosomal RNA
Rfam family: Bacterial small subunit ribosomal RNA
Source: RNAcentral
GGCGCACGGGUGAGUAACGCGUAUCCAACCUUCCCAUUACUGUGGGAUAACCUGCCGAAAGGCAGACUAAUACCGCAUAGUCUUCGAUGACGGCAUCAGAUUUGAAGUAAAGAUUUAUCGGUAAUGGAUGGGGAUGCGUCUGAUUAGCUUGUUGGCGGGGUAACGGCCCACCAAGGCGACGAUCAGUAGGGGUUCUGAGAGGAAGGUCCCCCACAUUGGAACUGAGACACGGUCCAAACUCCUACGGGAGGCAGCAGCU